GAGUGUUCUAGGGAGAAGGGUCGGGAAUUCUUCUCACGCACCAGGGACGGGCGUGGUAUGUGGUUUAUGGGUAGAACAGUCCAAUAAAUUCAAGGAAUCAGUUGGGAGAGCGACCAUGAAGACUAUUUUCUUAAUUGCUUUGUAUUAAAGAUGGCUUUAGAAAUGUAUUUAGACCUUUUCAAGGAGAACAACAUUCCUUUUGAUUUCAAAACUGUUUCACUUAUGGAAGGAGAGCAGUAUGGAGAAGAUUUCGGAAAGAUCAACAUGAUGAGGAAAGCUCCUGCAAUCUGAGAUGGAGACUUCUGUUCGGCUGAAAUGUGGGAAUGAAAACAUUGAGUUCAGUUGAGAGAUCAAUCAUCUCUACUUAUUUGAUGAGGCAAUGUAAUAAGACUACUUAACAAAUCCUUUGUGAUGCCUGGAGUAACUAAACAAAUCCCCAUUCUGAUUUUUAGUAACAAUUGCAACACAGUGUCCAGGCCAAGAGUUUCAGUGACAAACUGAUCAAUCACCUUUGCAGCAUUGCCAUUUUGAAGUACCUGGCAUAGAAGCACAAGACCGCAGACCACGGGAAUCCAGCCGACCUGCAGAAGCUCACCCGUGUCAAUGAAGAACUGUCCUGGCAGCACAUGGGAAUACGUAUGCAUGGCUCCAAGAUGUAUUAGCUCAGGCUGUUGAUACCAAAGAUCAUGGGUGUGGAAGUCCCCAAGGACAAGAUGGAUAGAGCCCUGGAGGACCUGGAGGGCUGGUCGAGAACAUGGACGGCAGCAAGACGCAGGUCUUCAAGCCCAAGAUCUUGAGAUUGUUCUUCUGAAUUCUCCAGUGACAGUGCAGUGAAGCUGGUCCUCUGUGAAAUAAUCAAGCUGGAUCUGUUAUUCAGCCACUAUGCACCAUGUAACAUAAUAACAAAAUAAAACAUUCUCUAUGGAAAUUCAGACACUCCCUGUUAGUACAACACAUUUAUAUCCAUUCCUUAUUAUUCUAAUGUUCUAAAAGCUGUUUUUAUCAAACGUUUUAACCUUUUACUGUUUUUGAUUGAAUGAAUAACUUAUUAAACUGUGUUUAACGUUUACAA
Long non-coding RNA from Oncorhynchus tshawytscha (Chinook salmon), 1072 nucleotides. RefSeq lists it as uncharacterized. NCBI's taxonomy places the organism in Eukaryota, Metazoa, Chordata, Actinopteri, Salmoniformes, Salmonidae. The transcript has 3 exons. The record is from RefSeq and is a predicted model, not a curated record.